Molecule: long non-coding RNA, 7331 nt
Filed under: Heterocephalus glaber (naked mole-rat)
Lineage: Eukaryota; Metazoa; Chordata; Mammalia; Rodentia; Bathyergidae
Description: lncRNA (ENSHGLG00100036020.1)
Source: RNAcentral
GCAUGCUUAUCAGUUUGCCCUUCUCAAACUCACUUUGUUCAUUUGUCCAUUCACUCAAACUUUUCUUGAGAAUCUACUGUGUGCUCAGCACUGACUCUGAGAGCUGUCAAUAAGGAUAGCUCAAAAGAUAGGUUCUAUUGUCAGAUAAGUUUUAGAUACACUCUCCGUGGCAUUGCGUUUCUUUGAACUAUAAUAAGCAUCUUCUGUUUAUCAGGUAGUACCCAUUCUUCUAUAUUACUACAUCUGAGAAAUCCUUUAUUUUAUUCAUAUUUUCCAUAAUUAUUGGAAUUCUUUUUUUCUCCAAGCCCUCUUUCCAUUAUGAAACCGAGUAAUAACACUAGAAUCCUAGAGCAAUGGUUGAAAGAUUAGCUUUGGCAAAUACUGGUGUAAUACGGAGACAGAAUAACAGUUAGAACUAAUCUUGUUACAUAAAUUUCUAAUGGUAAUGCUGAUAGACUGAUAAACCAGAGAACAUUAGUAGGAAUCAAGUGCAUUAUACUUCUUAAACAUGGAUUCCUCAAAGAAUCAAGGUUCUGGAUAUGCCAAGUUUAAAGUCUGGAACCUUUCACUAAUGGGCACAAAACUAAUAAUGUAAACAUUAAUGAUUUAAGUAUUAAAAAUUUAAUUAUUAAUUUAAUUAAAAUAUUAACUACUUUAAAUUUUUAAAAAUAUAAAUCGACCAAUUGAUUCAAUCAGGUAGACUGGAAGGUAAAUUUAUUUCUUCAAAAAGAUCGAUGUGGUGUUUUCUGCUAAGACCUAAUGGCUUUCUUUCAACAAUAUAUCAGACUCUUAAAAAUGCAGAGAUUUGUUAAAUUUUUAGAAUUGAACUUCAGGAAAUUUAUAAUAAAAUUUCAAAACUAGCUAGCCAACAGUUCUAAACAGAUUAAGAUGACAGGAUAUUCCCCAUCUUUUAUUUUUAAAGUUUAAAGUUUUAUUUUUAUUUUUGUUAAGAGUUAAUAUUACAACGAAAUAUAUCUUCUUUGAGUGUCACUUCUCAGGUGCUCAGGAUAAGUGGCAGUCUGAGCUGUCAAUUCAAUUUCUGUUGCUAUCUAGGCUGAAAGGAAAUACAAAUACAUACACAGCAGAAGGUAACAGCAACAAUUAUAUUCCACAGAUCUGUGUAAUUUAUGAAGAAAAGAGGAAUCCAGUUCAGGAAAUGCAUGAAUCUCCUAAAAAAAUCUUCACCAUAGAACUAUUACUAUUAUCUUUCUGAUAUUAUAUUGAAAAUGAAACACAUUCACCAAUUCUCCAAAGGCAAUUUCUCUUCACCUCAAAUAAAUCUCCCUUAUAGGCCAUAUAAAUAGAAUUAAACUGUCACAUAAUGUUUCCAUUUGUUUUCCUGCAGAAUAAACUCAUUACAACCAGCCCAUUAGAAGAUGAUAUUAAAGGAUUUAAUUGCCUGUGCAUAUUAAAUAUGUUUAAAAUUUAUGAAAAUAAACAUUUUCAAAUUGAGUAAAUACACUGCAAUGAUAGAAAUGGGAAUGUGGAUUUAAUGCAAAUUCUUACGGUAAUGCGGAUCCAUAGCACUACCAUGGACUGGAUGUGCCUCCUUGGAGCAUGUAUAGAUGUUCCAGGCCAGAAUCUAAGCCACACAAGGGCAGAAAUCCAUUUGGAGGCACAUGUGGAAUUGCUAAUAGAUUAUAAAUGGCAAUUUAGUCUAUGCAGGCAAUAUCUUUGGAUGAAAUAUUGCAUUUAUGAUAAUCAGGGGAGACUUACAACAAUUAACAUGGUUGGUGUUUUCCAGGGCUGGCCACUGAGCUCAAGGGAGUGUGUGUAUUUGACCUUGUGUCCCUUACACUUUCCGAAUAGCAUGGUUCAUAGUUUCCUGAUGGACAGCUGCCAAUUAUUAAAAAUUUCUCAAAAACUUCUGGGAGGAGCUUUUAGGUUUUAGCUGUCAGCAACAGGUGAUGGCAAGAAGGAAAACUUGAAACCAUUUUGGAAGCCAGGAGAAGCAGGAUGGAACAGUCCAACUUUCGGGGGGCAGAGGAGGAGUUCAGUUGUUCCAGGCCUGUUUCCCCACCACCCUGGCAGAUGGUUCAACAGCCAGGUUGCAGUGGCUUGAAGGCAGAAAGAAAGAUUUCUCCCUUAAUCUUUUCAAAAUCGCCAACAAAAGUCAAGUCAAAUUCUUUUAAAAAAGAAAAGAGCAGCUCGUCACUUUUUUGAGAAUCUUCUCUUGAGUCUUCAUGUGGCUCAGGAUUCUGCAUUGUUCUUCUUCCAUAUCUUGAACCUCCAGCACGAAGACUCACAAGACUCUUUUGAAGGAUAUUUGUUGAACAAAAGAGUUAUAUUCCACUCUUGGCACAUCGCUGUGAAGCUUAAUUACUGUCUGUCCCUCUAUGGGGUUCUUGAUGCCUUCCCCUGGACCAUAGGCCAAACCCAAAUCCUGAUCCUCUGGCUCCGGAUCUGCCCAACUGAAUCCACCAACCUCUUUUGAAGAAGCUGGGCACUAACCGCACAGCCAGGGUAGAGCUCAGUUGCACCAAGUUACAGUUAGGAAGAACACCCAGAGUUAGCAGGAAGCCACGCUGGCAUGCACAGCCAAGGUCAAAUAUCAACGGCACCGAUUUUGAACCUUAAAUUAAAAGGCUGGAGAAGUAUAAGAGAUUAAGGCUGCAGGUUUUAUUAAGCAUCAGAGAGAAGAGGAAGUGGUAGGGAAUGAUUGACAGUGCUUCAAGGAGACAAAAGGUCAGUAUGGUAUAGCAUUGAGAUGUUGCAGACAGGCAGGGGAUGGAGUCCUUGAAUCAAAAGACUCAGAGGUUCACCAAGUAGCUUCCGAAUGCCCUUGCAUAGCAUUCAUAUUUUUAUUCUACAAUGCUCAUCAAAAGAAACUCAUGAGUCCUCAUUCAUCAUUCAACAUAUAUUUAUUAUAAGGUCAUGUGAGCAGUUAUAUCAUUGUUUAAUUCAUUCAUUCAACAAAUUUACUAUUUGGACUAGAAUCUCUAUUUUGUCACUUACUAGUCAUGUGACCUAUACAAAGUAUUUAACCUCCCUGCCCAGUUCUUUAUCAGUUAAGAGAUGAAUAGUAUUUCUGGGAUUUAUCAUAAGGAUUAAAUGAGUACUGUGAACACUAUGAGACACGUACGGAAAUAUCAACACAUUUCCUGGGCCUAUUUACUAAAUAUUGUGAAUUGGACCAUGGACCCAAAAGUUGGGUUGAAGUUCCAAAUGCAUAUUCAUGAACAGAACCAUGUUUUCAAAUAGGAUUCUUACAAAUGUAAUCAAGUUAAAAUGGGUGCAUCAGAGUGCACUUUAACCCCACAUGACUGGUGUUUUUGUAAGAGGAGUGACAGAGGGAAGACUGCCCUGUGGCUGCUGAAGACACCUGGAGAGUGAGAAGUAGAAGAGCAUCCUCCACCAGAGAUGUCAGAGUGAGCCCGACACUGCCAGCACCUUCUCCCAUAACUUCCAGCCUCCAGCACUGUGCAAGAAUUCACUUCUCCUGUGUUAAGCCACCAGUCUGAGGUAAAGACACCCCUGAUUUACCGAGGCUCGCCUUCACAACUGCAUCAAAGUGAUACGCAUUUGACAGAGUCUGUACCUCCAACUUUGAAUUCUGAUGUCCUCCUGGGUCAGUGAUGUGCAGUACAAACUCUCUCCAGAUGAUGAGAAGUGUCAGUGGCCCUGCAUACCUGUCAGCUGUGUGACCACAAGGGGAAACCAUCAGAGGUCGACUUUGCACUGCGCUGCUCAGCAUGAUGCUUGGUAGGUCAAGUGUAUUUAGUGCAUUUCCACUUAGAAUAUUUUCAACUUAUGACCAGUUCAGGGUGCUUGACCCCAUCAUAUAUUAAGAUGUAAUCCCAUUGUGAGUGAAGGAGAAUUUGUACUUUGAUAGAACACCCCUAAGAGACUAAUACCCUGAGUAGCUACUCUGCUUCGGAGACUCUUCCAGUUUCUGAUGAACAAAUGCCAAAGAGUGUGAAUUUUUUCCUAAGGAUUAUGUGAAACCAUGAGGGAAUGUAUAUGAUCGAAUGUUCAUGUGCAUGGACACAGAGAAGAUGUAGUGCAAGAAAAACGCUGCAGGGAGGAAAAGCAGUUAGGAGGUGGCUGUAGUAGUUCAAGGAAAACAAUGACUCGUGGCCUGAGAAGACAUUGAUAUAGAGAGAAAGUAGGCAUCGAGAAAAUGUUCUGAAGAUGGAAUUCUCAGUUUUGGUGAUAGACAGGGAGAAAAGUAUGAAAGGAGAGGUUUCUGGCCCUAACUGAAUGGCAGUGGAGUCACGUGCAAAGACUGAGAGUGAAGAGGCCUGGGGCCAGAAGAAGAUGCUAAGUGACGCUACACACGUUGGAGUUGAGAUACUGAAAGACAGAGGAGAGAGCCCUGUAGGCAUCUGGAUGAGUUUGGCGUAUGGGUCAAACAGAUCUGAGCAGGAAGUAUAAAUUUGGGAAUUAGCAUGUCGAUGUCAAGUGGAGCACAUUACAUCAUGAAAUCAUAUAAAGCCAGGGAAUGAGUCUUACCUUGUGAAGCAGCUUCAAUCAUGCAAAAAAAAAAAACCCAACAAAACCUUUUCAUACAUAUCCAUGCACAUUUUUCUGGAGUAGACACAGAGCUUUGUUCAGAUUCUCAAAGGCAUCAAUGACUCAAAAAGAAGCUGAGAACUACCAGCAAAAAGUAUGAGCAGAAAAGUGCCCGAGACCAAACACCAAAGCAUCUAAGUUCUAAGAUCACCUUAAAAGAGUAUCUUGACAGGCUGACCAAAUAGGUGGAAGAAAACUCUAGACUCCUAAAUCAAGGCAGCGACAAUUUUUAAGCUAUGCAUACUGGCACCAGUAUCAAAGGGCCAAAAACUCAAAAUACGAGGAGUUAUUGUGAGCUUCUCAAGGGCAAUUUAAAGUGAACUGGUUUGAGCACAAAUCUUUAGGUUGAUGGGUAAAUGACAGGUGAGAGAGGAGACCCUGAAAUUUUUAUAAAAUAAGAAAAUUUUAUCCUUUAAUUAAUUCCAAGAUUAAUAAACAGGAUUUAUUGUGUGUAUUUCAAGAUGGUAAAUUAACUCUCAUUUGUUCCUAUACCUGUUCUCCCUUUAUUUUUCUUAGAAACCCUGUUUAUUUUCCUGUUAUUUUCUUCUGUUUCUUCACUAAAAGGAAAGUCAAAGGAAAAAAAUCUACAAUGAAAAUUGUUAGGCCGACAGAGAAACUAAAAGUAGUAGGAUUCACAUUGGGUACCAAAAUACAAGCUAGUGAAUUUUAAAAAUAAUGUAUGUAUUAAAAUGUAUUUAUAUAGUGUUGUUGUAUAACACACUUCAUAUUUAUGAGUCAGCACUCAAAUGACAGUUGAGUUCAUUUAUAGAGAGACAAUCAUCAGGCUGGACAGGCAAAAAGAUGUAACUUCAAAGGCUUUGAAGAUUCCGGGCAGGAUCCUGGGUUAUAUCUAAAUCGUGUGUGUAUUUUUAUUAUCAACCAAACGAUUUCAGGGCUGCAUCCUGGUGAACUGAAAAACAAGUUGUUCAAAUUUUUGUAUUUCAAAAGAUGGUUAGGCAUCACAGAAACAAACACAUUGUUAUUGUUAAAGACAACUGUUCUUUUUUUUUUUUUUAAUAAAACUAUUCUGUAAAGGGAACGAGGAUAAUGCUGGCAAUGUGGUUUACUUUUCUUUAAAGGGACAUCUCUUCUGUGGAGUCUGUUAUGGCAGAAUUGAGAAUGCUUCCUCCCCGCCUCCACAUUUUACGAUCGUAGUUAGUGUAAAUGCUUAGGUCUGCUCACUGUUUUGCAUGUCCAGUUCUCUCUACUACUUGUUAAGGCUUGGGGGAGGCAGGGAGUGUAUGAAAUUCAUCUUUGUAUUCCCCUAUCAAUAACACAAUAACUGGAACAUUAAAGUGCAUCAAAUGAAUGAAUUUUAAUUAUUUACCCCAAUAUAUCUAAGUUCUGGUUCAUGUCUAGAUGUCCUCCCAAACCUCAAGUGCUCAGAGGUGGGGCUUUUUGGAGAUGAGUGGAUCAUGGGGCUUCUAGCUGAAUUACUGUUGGAAGGAGGGGUCUGGACAGAAGAGGCAGUCACUGUGGGCAUGGCCUGGAAGGGUCUGUCUCCCUUCCUGCUCCUCUUCCAUUUCACUUUGCUGCCAUGCCAUAACCCAUUCUCCUUGCCAUGCCAUUUGCCUUGGAGCCAGUCAAUUAUGUACUGAAAUCUGCAAACCAUGAGCCAAAAUAAACCUCUCCUCCUUUGAGUCAUGGUUGUUGGGUAUUGAGUCCCAGUGAUGGGAAAGUAAUUAAGACAAUCUAUUAAUUGCAUCUUGAGCUUUCAUUUGUGUAAUAAGAAUUGGAAUUUUUCUGUUGCUUCAUUGUUAAAGAUGACUAUUUUUGCAUAAUGCGUUUGGAACAUUAUUAAUAAGACAAUGGAAAAGAAAAUGUCACAAUUCAUUUGAAAUGCAAAGAGCCAAUAAACAGCAGUUAAAUAACAGACAUUAAAUGUUGCACAUAUGUCAAGUAAUAACAAGAAUUCUUUUCCUAGAAUUUGAAACAUUGUUAAGUGCAAUUGGUAUGACAUUAGAAUUUUUUAAGGCUAACACAGGGUCUGAUGUAGAUUAAGAGUUAUGUGCAUUAAAAGAGGAGAGAACAGUGAAUUACCAGAAGCAUUACUACUGACAGAAGACUCUAUAACUUCAAAGCUUGUUAUAUGACAUGACAUGAGUGGUUGAAAUGCAUAUGGCUGGGGAGAUACCAAGAAUAGUUCUCUUGGGUCUCAGUAGUUGCACUUUUUAUAGUGCUCCUCAGGGAUUAUAAAUAGACCCAUUUAGGAAGGAGUUCCUACUACCACACUAAUACAAAGCACAACCAAAGUGUCAACAACAACAAAAACAACAUACAUACAUACCAGUGGAUAAACGCACUGAAUUAGAGAUUUAUUUAGUUUUCCAACUCUAUCUGCAGUAAUGAUGAAAGAGGCAACGAGAAUUUUCAAAGUUGUUCUGAUCAAAUUAUAAUUAACAAUCAUGCAUAGAAAGAGGAAACCUUGUUUCUAUAGUCAUAAAAAUUUAACAUGGCAAGGUUCACUUGGUUAACAUUAAAACACAAAACUGGAUGCCAUGUGUUCACAACUCCUUGUGGAAUUUUAAAAUAUAGAGUGGUGGUUUUAGCUUGCUAUGUAGGGUCACCCAGGUACACAUUCCUGCAAUAUUUAAGAGAUUUUACUAAUAAAUGUCAAGGAGUGAAAGUGAUCAUGUGUAUAUUUAUUAUGUCAUCAUAAUAAAUCUAUGGGGGACCAGACACUGAUAUGACUGUUGUAAUGAUGAGCAAAGAAGAAAUUUUAAAGAUACAAAAUGGGAAUUUUCUAUGGAAAACCACACAAAUAUUUAUCUGCUUAUUGGAAUUCUGAGUGAACUUCUCUAUCAAUGACAUCUGCUGGG